AGUGAACGCUGGCGGUAGGCCUAACACAUGCAAGUCGAACGGCAGCACAGUAAGAGCUUGCUCUUACGGGUGGCGAGUGGCGGACGGGUGAGGAAUACAUCGGAAUCUACUUUUUCGUGGGGGAUAACGUAGGGAAACUUACGCUAAUACCGCAUACCACCUACGGGUGAAAGCAGGGGAUCUUCGUACCUUGCCCGCACGCAUGAACGGAUGUCGGUUUUGUUAGUUGGCGGGGUAAAGGCCCACCAAGCCGACGAUCCUUAGCUGGUCUGAGAGGAUGAUCAGCCAAACGGGAACUGAGACACGGUCCAGACUCCUACGGGAGGCAGCAGUGGGGAAUAUUGGACAUGGGGGGCAAUCCUGAUCCAGCAAGACCGCGGGGGGGAAGAAGGCCUUCGGGUGUUAAAGCCCGUUUGUUGGGAAAGAAAAGCGGCAGGUUAAAACCCCGCUGUUCUGACGGUACCCAAAGAGUAAGAACCGGCUAACUUCGUG
This 492-nucleotide ribosomal RNA is filed under the name uncultured bacterium. RNAcentral's name for it is "partial 16S ribosomal RNA". It matches the Rfam family "Bacterial small subunit ribosomal RNA", at positions 29 to 507 of the family's 1533-position model. The record is from RNAcentral.